Amaranthus tricolor (Joseph's coat) is the source of this 3635-nucleotide RNA transcript. RefSeq lists it as uncharacterized. NCBI's taxonomy places the organism in Eukaryota, Viridiplantae, Streptophyta, Magnoliopsida, Caryophyllales, Amaranthaceae. The transcript is spliced from 21 exons. The record is from RefSeq and is a predicted model, not a curated record.
CAAAGUACAGUUUGUGGCUUAUAGGGUAAUGCAAUUAGCAAUCCCCUGUGGCGAGGAUCAGGAUAAACCAUGGUGGUGCUCCAACUCCAUUAUCAUCAAUGGCUGCAACCCAAGAAUUACAAUGGCUUCUUUCUUUCUCAAUAUUCCAAUACACCAAAAAUGGGUCGUCCUUCUACAAUUAUGUGCUCCCAAUCAUCUCCGACCAGAACUCAAAGGAUAAUGAAAAGCAUCUCAGUAGGAUCAGAAGUUGGUGGUGCCGGAGGAGUAUCUUCAUAUAGUGCUUUAAAAAGGUUGGACCAAAUAUGGACUAACAUCUGCUCAACUGAAACAGUUAAUAAACCACCACAGGUAGUUACUACCGUUUGUGGGCCUUUUACGCGCAGUGAAGUUUCUGGAAAGUCAGUAGACGAUUUCGAUGUAGUAGUAUGUGGAGGUACAUUGGGAAUUUUCAUUGCCACUGCAUUGUGUGCAAAAGGCCUUACUGUUGGAAUCGUCGAAAGAAACAUAUUGCAAGGGAGGGAACAGGAAUGGAACAUUUCAAGGAAAGAGUUGCUGGAACUUGUGGAAGUUGGCAUUUUGGAUGAAGAUGCCAUUGAACAAGCUAUAGCGGCAGAAUUCAAUCCUAACAGGUGUGGAUUCGAAGAGAAGGGUGAUAUUUGGGUCAAGGACAUUUUAAAUAUUGGGAUUUCUAUAGAGUUGAUGGUUAAAAGAAAGAGAAAGUUGUCCAUAGCACAUGACGAGUGGCUUUGCGCAACCCUUCAUAGAAGGCCAGCGAAGUUGCUAGAGAUAAUGAAGGAACGAUUCAAGUCUCUCGGUGGGAUAAUCUUAGAAGGUUGUAAUGUUUCCAGCAUAUGUGUGUAUGAUGACGCAGCGGUUUUGCAAUUAUCCGAAGAGAAGAUGUUAUCAUCACGACUAGUCAUUGAUGCUAUGGGGAAUCUUUCUCCUAUCACAAGACAGAUUAGAGAGGGAAGGAAGCCGGAUGGUGUUUGCCUUGUCGUUGGUUCAUGUGCACGCGGUUUUACAAAUAAUACUACAAGUGAUGUCAUCUAUAGCAAUUCCACUGUAACGAAAAUUGGUCAGGCAGAUGUGCAACUAUUUUGGGAGGCAUUUCCUGCUGGUUCGGGUCCCAUGGAUCGAACAACUUACAUGUUUACGUAUAUGAAUCCUCAUCCAGGAUGCCCUACCCUGGAAGAUCUCUUGGAAAGUUAUUGGGAAUUAAUGCCAAAUUAUCAGGGAGUUACCCUAGAAGAUCUCGAGAUUAUGAGAGUCGUAUAUGGCAUAUUCCCUACCUAUCGUGACAGUCCCCUGCCACCUGCAUUUGACCGAAUUCUACAGUUUGGAGACGCUAGUGGCAUUCAAUCCCCGGUAUCUUUUGGUGGUUUCGGAAGCUUGACCCGGCAUCUAGGGAGAUUGUCCACUGGAAUUUGUGAAGCGAUUGAGGGAAAUUUUCUGGACUCAAACAGCUUGGCUUUGCUGAAUCCAUAUUUGCCCAAUCUAAGUGCUUCUUGGCUAUUUCAAAAGGCAAUGUCAGCCAAGCAACAGCCUGAUGUGUCACCUUCUUUUAUCAAUGAGCUACUUCAUGCCAAUUUUCAGAGUAUGGAGAAGCUGGGUGAUCCUGUUCUAAGACCAUUUCUUCAGGAUGUUAUUCAAUUUGGACCUCUAGUGAAAACACUAGGUUUGGUCAUGCUUACUAAACCUCAAAUUAUUCCUUCCAUAUUCAAACAGGUUGGAGUCCCUGUAUUGAUCGACUGGUCCGGCCAUUUUGUAAUGCUUGGUUACUACACAUUUCUCUCAACCUUUGUAGAUCCUUUAGUUAGGCCCUCAAUCGAAAUGUUCCCUUCCAAAAUAAAGUUUCAGUGGAAACGAUAUCUCGACAGUUGGAAAUACGGAGCUGGUUUAGACUAUAAACUCUGAAAGCGUUAGUUGUGAGCGGUUCGGUUCCAAAGCACAAUGUGAUCUCUUUUUGGAGUUUCGGACGACAAUUGAUGUCAUAGUACAUAAAUAUUAGACAUGUAAUUGUAUUUAUUAAUACGUCAAUUAAUUCAAUAUACUGUUAGAAACAUAUUUUGUGCUCUUAAUCAGAUGGAUCCUGAUGUGAUCUCCUAAUAUGCCAAGUUUUGACACUCAUAUGGAGCAUUUUCAUGAUUUUAGCUCUCAAUCACUGCUUUCUAAAUACCUGUUAGGGUGUUCGGCCGCUGCAAGGACCUCUGCCUCCGUCUUCGGAAAGCACCAGGCUUGUCACCUCAACUGCUACGUAUGUCUUAGAUAUCUCAACAAACCUCGACUAUAACUUACGUAAGAUCGCUAUUUGGGUCGUACGGAAGAAGAAUGACCUGUCUUUCGAGUACUAUUCUUGUAACACCCGAAUUUCCUCUCGUCCUUUGCGGUUUUGGUUUCGUAUAUAUAAAGGAUCGGAAAUUCAAGGGUGUUAAAAUUCUUCAUUUACGCGUGCUCAGAUCGACCUCCUAAUCAUCAAUCUCAAACUCAAACUCGACCUGACUAGAUUGAUGUUCAUACUUUUAUUUAAACAGAAAUUCUUAAUCAAUUACGUGAUUUGUAAUUUAGCACAAAAAGACAAAACAAAUAUUAAUAAAGUAAAUGAAAAAAAAGGUAAAUCAAAAUCCUAAAAGCCCCAUGCUUCCCAUUCUAUCAAAUCUUCUACAAAGGGUAAUUUGCUAAUAUUAUAAAUCAUUGUUAUUUACUUAUACUACCUCAUAUUUUAAUGCAUUACUCUUACUAUUUGGAAUUGAGAUACUAGACGCCUAGACGAUAAUGGAAAAUUGUACUUUAAAACUUUUUUAUGAUCAAAGUUUCAUUACAUGUAACGACAUGAUACAUUUCAUAUUUGUUUGAUUAUAAUCGGAUAAAAAUUAAAUCGUUAAGUCUGUUUUGUUUGAUUAUAAUCGGAUAAAAAUUAAAUCGUUAAGUCUGUUUUGAACGACUUCUCGGGACAAAUGAGAGAGAUGAUAUAAAAUGAUAAAAGAUAAUAUAAAAAUGAAUAAUCAUACAACAUAAGACACAUUUAUAGCCAUAGGUACUCCUAUUAUUUAAGCAAUUUCAUGCAAAGCAUUGACAACUUUCGUUGAUUCGUUCAAUCAUCUUGGAAAACCACGAUAUUUUUCCUUGACAAUUCAUGUUUUAUCCAUCAAACAUUAACAAAUUAAAUUUAGAGAUUUUACGUUGCAAAAUGUAAAUUAGGAAGUAGUUUACCGAUUACCGUUGACAUGAUCGCACGAUCGCCAUGUAUGAGCUUAGGAAGCUUAAGCUGGUUUUCCUGCGAGGAUCAUUAUUGAAGAGGUCUUCCAUGAAAGAGAACUGCUACUUUUUCUAGACGAGCUAUUGCCUCUGCUUUUUAUCUAGGUAGCAGAAAACUUACCAUUUUCUAAGGGAUGUGUUAUCAUGUCUAAAAGAGGCUGAUAAAUGUCGAAGACCACCAAUUUCAAAUCAGCAAGUUUUGUCUGCAAGCUCUGCGCCACACCAUUUAAUUUACUGUUAAAAGAGAGAGCAUCCUUGUUCAGUCUUUCGACGCAUUGAUUAGUUCCUCCUCCAAAAAGCGUAAUGGCUGCUGGCAAACACCCCAUUGGUGGUAAGCUUGUUACUCCUAUCCUCCUUACUCCAAGCCCAUAUAGUGUCUG